UUGGUGCUUGCAUCAUGAUUUACAUUUGAGUGAGUGGCGAACUGGUGAGUAACACGUGGGAAACCUGCCCAGAAGCGGGGGAUAACACCUGGAAACAGAUGCUAAUACCGCAUAACAACUUGGACCGCAUGGUCCGAGCUUGAAAGAUGGCUUCGGCUAUCACUUUUGGAUGGUCCCGCGGCGUAUUAGCUAGAUGGUGAGGUAACGGCUCACCAUGGCAAUGAUACGUAGCCGACCUGAGAGGGUAAUCGGCCACAUUGGGACUGAGACACGGCCCAAACUCCUACGGGAGGCAGCAGUAGGGAAUCUUCCACAAUGGACGAAAGUCUGAUGGAGCAACGCCGCGUGAGUGAAGAAGGGUUUCGGCUCGUAAAACUCUGUUGUUAAAGAAGAACAUAUCUGAGAGUAACUGUUCAGGUAUUGACGGUAUUUAACCAGAAAGCCACGGCUAACUACGUGCCAGCAGCCGCGGUAAUACGUAGGUGGCAAGCGUUGUCCGGAUUUAUUGGGCGUAAAGCGAGCGCAGGCGGUUUUUUAAGUCUGAUGUGAAAGCCUUCGGCUCAACCGAAGAAGUGCAUCGGAAACUGGGAAACUUGAGUGCAGAAGAGGACAGUGGAACUCCAUGUGUAGCGGUGAAAUGCGUAGAUAUAUGGAAGAACACCAGUGGCGAAGGCGGCUGUCUGGUCUGUAACUGACGCUGAGGCUCGAAAGUAUGGGUAGCAAACAG
This 727-nucleotide ribosomal RNA is filed under the name Lactiplantibacillus plantarum. RNAcentral describes it as "bacterial SSU rRNA". It matches the Rfam family "Bacterial small subunit ribosomal RNA", at positions 73 to 775 of the family's 1533-position model. Lineage: Bacteria; Bacillati; Bacillota; Bacilli; Lactobacillales; Lactobacillaceae. The record is from RNAcentral.